RNAcentral lists this ribosomal RNA (253 nucleotides) under uncultured bacterium. RNAcentral's name for it is "partial 16S ribosomal RNA". It matches the Rfam family "Bacterial small subunit ribosomal RNA", at positions 524 to 776 of the family's 1533-position model. The record is from RNAcentral.
UACGAAGGGGGCUAGCGUUGUUCGGAAUGACUGGGCGUAAAGCGCACGUAGGCGGACAUUUAAGUCAGGGGUGAAAUCCCGGGGCUCAACCUCGGAACUGCCUUUGAUACUGGGUGUCUGGAGUGUGGAAGAGGUGAGUGGAAUUCCGAGUGUAGAGGUGAAAUUCGUAGAUAUUCGGAGGAACACCAGUGGCGAAGGCGGCUCACUGGUCCACAACUGACGCUGAGGAGCGAAAGCGUGGGGAGCGAACAGG